UUUAUAUGAUUUUCUAAAGCUUUAGACAUUUAUGAAAUUUAAAUUAAUUCGAUUAAAAGGGAAAAUUCUAUGGAUACCCAGAAGUGUACCCAGCCAGAGGCUGACUGGUGGGCCUGGUCAACUACUGACUCAGUAGUUGACUAGUCAACUUUGACUAGUCAAAGGGCUGACCAGGGUCCACCCAUCAUUGAACUAGUUAGUAUCAGAUUGAUUUUAUUAUUUUGUUAGCUUAAUUAGUAGGUGGGGCCCAGUGGUCAGUGACAGUGGCUAAACAAAUGUAAGUAACUAAUUUAUAACUAACCUAAUUAGUAGGGGCCACAUGGCAAUGGGCCAUCCAAAACAUUAACGUGUGCAUCAUGGGCGCUUCCUAGGCUGUGCCACGUCGGAUCGGUGGAAGACAAAACAGAUUGCUGAAAAAAAAAGAUUGCUGGGAGAAAAAAAAUGAUGGUUGAUUGGGCAGCGGCCAGAUAACACAUGCCUCUUGAUCUGCUUUCCCUUCCUCACGAAGCAAUCUCCAAUCCCGCACGCAAGACGCAACCUCGUCGUCGCAUUGCUCUCCUCAACAACUGCUACGCGUCCACGCGCCGCUACCUCCGCCACUUCUCCUGCGCUUUCUCUGCCCCGUUCACCUCUGCCCUGCGCCGCCUCCUCCUCUGGAGAAGGAGCAUGGCGCCCGUCGCUGUGCCUGGUGGGGAUCCGGCGCAUCCCCUCUCCACUCACCUCCUCCUCUCCUGGGUCCCUGUGUUGCCGUCUCAGGUGCUUCUCCUGCGUCUUCUCCUCCUAGCUGAGUCCUCGACCAGAUCAGCGUCCGUCGUAGGAGGCUUGGGUGGUCGCAGGUUCGGGCGCAACUCCUUCCUUCCCGUACGCUAGGAUCAAACAGCCCGUGAGCCUGGCGGUGCCUGCCUGGAUCCGGAGGUAGAUGGACUAGAUCCUAGAGCUGGGCAUGAAGGAGCUCGAGGUCGACGACUCCGGCUUCGUCCUCCUCCUCUGAUGUCGUCACCUUGCCCGGGUCCAACACACCUAUCCAUCGCCCCAAUUUUUAUCAUUUCGUCGUGAUUACCAAUCCGCGCCAUCCGUAGUGUGUGCCUUCUGCCCUUCUCACCACUCUGAACUCGGAGGCGGUGGAAAUUGGGUGGGGAAGGUUUUCGAGCUCAAAAUUAAACCCGGUUCUAGAAUAGUAGAAGCUGGUGCUGGGAUGGUCGGUAGGCAGUGGCACUCUUAGGUUUCCAUUGCUUCAAAUCUAUUUGGUUUUAGGUGAUUUGGCACCCAAAACUCACAACACUGUUGCUACACAUCAGUUCAAGAAUCAAGGCAAAUAGCGGUAUUUCCCUUUGGGGUGAAUGGACGAACUGAUUAUGGGAAGACGAACCAAGUAGUUUAUACAGUACUCUCAAUUUUUCACACUUCCAGUGAAUUAAACUGAUGAUUUAGAUGUGACUUCUCUCCUUCGUACAUUGUUUGGGGGUUUGGUUUGAGAAGUGGGUUGCAGCACUCAUGAUUUUGCUUGUUUCGGGGAUGGAAUGAAUUGGGCAUCAACAUCACGCACGCACGCACGCACGCACGCAGCACGCACGCACGCACGCACGCACUAGAAACCAGAGAGAAUUAAACAGAUAGGGUUUUGAAAUUGACUCGGUAGCUGAAUCAUGGUCCAUGAAUUUGUGUAAAACGACAAGUGCGCUACUGAAUUAAAAUUCUACCUGUUCAUUCCACUGCCCAGUUACCAUCUGAAAGGUUCUAUUUUGCCACGGCAACUCUAAUUAGAUUGUUAUAGUUCGGACUAAGGGGAUCAAGAUUAGUCAUCUGUUACCAUGUACUGUGAACCUCAACACUAGCUGAGUAGCUACGUAGCUAAUCAUUGAUCUUGUCUUGGGUGAAAGGGUGGCGUUUGUUAAUUCAGAUACUGAAAGGUAACCCACACUGACUUUAUUUGUUUACUUUCCUUAUGAACCCUUAUUUGCUUAGCUUCUGUUGAUGAUAUUUCUAAUCUUUUAUCUUCGUCGGUAAACUCAACUGCAUCUCAGUUUUCUGUUCCCGUUUCCUGGAUUGGGGGUCCUGGUGCGCAAGAUUCUUCUGUUUGCUACGGCGCACGCAGACCUGGAUGACACCAAGCAUUGACGUGUGCACGUUCGUCGCAACAGCCACACCUCAACCCUCCUGACGCACACAACAAUUAGCGGUGCCAAAAUGAUUUGGUGUUUGCAAGGGGUCUGCUUUUGUUGCAUUUUCUACACGUGAGAAACCAUCUCAGGCUAUUUGGAUGCACCUGCACAGUACUGAUAGUACAUGAAAUUCAUCAACCUGCUGUUGCCGCAACCAACCAAAGUUUGCUCUAACAGAGUGAUGAAUACAAAUAUUCAUGCUAAGCUUUCUUCAAAUUAUGCUAAUUGAUCUUAAAAAACUGGCUACUGGUGUUAUUGCUACAAUUUAUUUCUGACAGCCAGGUAGUCUUGGUAUGCUUUCGUGAUGCAAUUUAUUUCUGACAGACAAACUAUGCUAAUUGAUCUUGAAAAGCUGGCUACUGGUGUUAUCUGCUUUGUGGAAGGCUGUUGGCAUUAAACUUUAGUGCUCGGCUGUCCAUCAUAGUAUCAUUUCCUCGAUAAUUAAUGAGGCAUGAAAAAUAGGUGAAAUUGCAGGAAAAUUGAAGAUGGGAACACGAUUCAUUUUGUCAAUGGGAACAUCUACUGUUACAGAUACACUUUCUGUAUUCUACCUAUCGAUGGCGUAAUGUUUGAAUAUUAAGUCA
Molecule: long non-coding RNA, 2746 nt
Organism: Triticum aestivum (bread wheat)
Lineage: Eukaryota; Viridiplantae; Streptophyta; Magnoliopsida; Poales; Poaceae
Exons: 2
Source: RefSeq, a predicted model, not a curated record